UCAACCAGUAAGCACAUUCUCGAAGGUGAGAGGAGAAGGGUUUCAUAACAGUUUAUACAGUUCAGAUAAUAUCAAAGUGGUAAAACGUUUAGCACUAAGCACAGAACAUGUAAUCAAAUCAGAAGAAGCCAAAUAUAACAGUUAUUCUAAGCUCGAAUUCUUGAACCCCGGACCAAAGAUUCUGGGUUCUUUACUUCCCCAGCAGAGUCGCCAGAGCAGUCACACCUCCUUUUUACGCGGCUACCCGAAGGAUAAAACGUAUAAGGGAGUUUUUCCAAUUAAA
RNAcentral lists this long non-coding RNA (283 nucleotides) under Nicotiana benthamiana. Its description in RNAcentral is "long non-coding RNA (NBEN_LNC032501)". Lineage: Eukaryota; Viridiplantae; Streptophyta; Magnoliopsida; Solanales; Solanaceae. The record is from RNAcentral.